This 468-nucleotide ribosomal RNA is filed under the name uncultured bacterium. RNAcentral describes it as "partial 16S ribosomal RNA". It matches the Rfam family "Bacterial small subunit ribosomal RNA", at positions 28 to 507 of the family's 1533-position model. The record is from RNAcentral.
GACGAACGCUGGCGGCGUGCUUAACACAUGCAAGUCGAACGGAAAGGCCCUGCUUUUGUGGGGUGCUCGAGUGGCGAACGGGUGAGUAACACGUGAGUAACCUGCCCUUGACUUUGGGAUAACUUCAGGAAACUGGGGCUAAUACCGGAUAGGAGCUCCUGCUGCAUGGUGGUGGUAGGAAAGUUACGGCGGUUGGGGAUGGACUCGCGGCUUAUCAGCUUGUUGGUGGGGUAGUGGCUUACCAAGGCUUCGACGGGUAGCCGGCCUGAGAGGGUGACCGGCCACAUUGGGACUGAGAUACGGCCCAGACUGCUACGGGAGGCAGAAGUGGGGAAUAUUGCACAAUGGGCGGAAGCCUGAUGAAGCAACGCCGCGUGCGGGAUGACGGCCUUCGGGUUGUAAACCGCUUUCGCCUGUGACGAAGCGUGAGUGACGGUAAUGGGUAAAGAAGCACCGGCUAACUACGUG